This 468-nucleotide ribosomal RNA is filed under the name uncultured bacterium. Its description in RNAcentral is "partial 16S ribosomal RNA". It matches the Rfam family "Bacterial small subunit ribosomal RNA", at positions 28 to 507 of the family's 1533-position model. The record is from RNAcentral.
GACGAACGCUGGCGGCGUGCUUAACACAUGCAAGUCGAACGGAAAGGCCCUGCUUUUGUGGGGUGCUCGAGUGGCGAACGGGUGAGUAACACGUGAGUAACCUGCCCUUGACUUUGGGAUAACUUCAGGAAACUGGGGCUAAUACCGGAUAGGAGCUCCUGCUGCAUGGUGGGGGUUGGAAAGUUUCGGCGGUUGGGGGUGGACUCGCGGCUUAUCAGCUUGUUGGUGGGGUAGUGGCUUACCAAGGCUUUGACGGGUAGCCGGCCUGAGAGGGUGACCGGCCACGUUGGGACUGAGAUACGGCCCAGACUCCUACGGGAGGCAGCAGUGGGGAAUAUUGCACAAUGGGCGGAAGCCUGAUGCAGCAACGCCGCGUGCGGGAUGACGGCCUUCGGGUUGUAAACCGCUUUCGCCUGUGACGAAGCGUGAGUGACGGUAAUGGGUAAAGAAGCACCGGCUAACUACGUG